RNAcentral lists this ribosomal RNA (282 nucleotides) under uncultured Desulfotomaculum sp. RNAcentral describes it as "partial 16S ribosomal RNA". It matches the Rfam family "Bacterial small subunit ribosomal RNA", at positions 234 to 509 of the family's 1533-position model. Lineage: Bacteria; Bacillati; Bacillota; Clostridia; Eubacteriales; Desulfotomaculaceae. The record is from RNAcentral.
CGUCCCAUUAGCUAGUUGGUGGGGUAAAGGACCACCAAGCCGACGAUGGGUAGCCGGCCUGAGAGGGCGACCGGCCACACUGGGACUGAGACACGGCCCAGACUCCUACGGGAGGCAGCAGUGGGGAAUCUUCCGCAAUGGGCGAAAGCCUGACGGAGCAACGCCGCGUGAGUGAUGAAGGCUUCGGGUCGUAAAACCCUGUGAGAUGGGAAGAAGCCGUUGCGUGCUAAUACCACGUCGCGGUGACAGUACCAUCAGAGGAAGCCGMGGCUAAUACGUGCC